UCCUUGUUUGCCAGCACGUAAUGGUGGGAACUCCAGGGAGACUGCCGGUGAUAAACCGGAGGAAGGUGGGGACGACGUCAAGUCAUCAUGGCCCUUACGGGAUGGGCUACACACGUGCUACAAUGGCAGGUACAGAGGGCAGCGAUACCGCGAGGUGGAGCGAAUCCCAGAAAGCUUGUCGUAGUCCGGAUUGGAGUCUGCAACUCGACUCCAUGAAGUCGGAAUCGCUAGUAAUCGUAGAUCAGAAUGCUACGGUGAAUACGUUCCCGGGCCUUGUACACACCGCCCGUCACACCAUGGGAGUGGGAUGCAAAAGAAGUGGCUAGUCUAACCUUCGGGAGGACGGUCACCACUUUGUGUUUCAUGACUGGGGUGAAGUCGUAACAAGGUAACCCUAGGGGAACCUGGGGUUGGAUCACCUCCUUAUC
Molecule: ribosomal RNA, 428 nt
Filed under: Hyphomicrobium sp.
Lineage: Bacteria; Pseudomonadati; Pseudomonadota; Alphaproteobacteria; Hyphomicrobiales; Hyphomicrobiaceae
Description: bacterial SSU rRNA
Rfam family: Bacterial small subunit ribosomal RNA
Source: RNAcentral